GUCACCCGCAGGGACGCGGUCUGGCAGGAAAUAAUUUGGCAUUAGAUUCAAAUGUUAACUGUAAGACUGUGUCUUUGAGGGCGAU
Molecule: microRNA precursor, 85 nt
Organism: Culex quinquefasciatus (southern house mosquito)
Lineage: Eukaryota; Metazoa; Arthropoda; Insecta; Diptera; Culicidae
Rfam family: mir-999 microRNA precursor family
Source: Rfam